RNAcentral lists this long non-coding RNA (357 nucleotides) under Gossypium raimondii (Peruvian cotton). RNAcentral's name for it is "long non-coding RNA (GRAI_LNC000351)". Lineage: Eukaryota; Viridiplantae; Streptophyta; Magnoliopsida; Malvales; Malvaceae. The record is from RNAcentral.
AAGUAUGGUCCAGCUGCUCAGAUGCCUUUAGUAGAUUUAACACAGCGAGGCAAUAGUAGUAUGAAGUCUCUUUCAGCCAGGAUACUUGCUCACUUGAAUGUACUUCAUGACCAAUCUUCCUAUUUCUAAAGAAUUCAACGCCUUUUGACUUUCUUGAAUCAUAUCUGAGGAGGAAGGACUGGCCACAUUAUUCACCUUGACGAUUUAUUUUGCAAGAACCGCAAUACUGGUGUGCAUGCUCAGGCUUGAACCAUAAUAUUUCAGAAUGGGCAUACCUUUCUUCUCAAUAAUAGGUGCAUAUUGACGGAUUCACCUUGAAAGCUAAGCAAGAACUAUCAACCAACUCCAUUGUUGUGG